Molecule: ribosomal RNA, 662 nt
Filed under: uncultured bacterium
Lineage: Bacteria
Description: bacterial SSU rRNA
Rfam family: Bacterial small subunit ribosomal RNA
Source: RNAcentral
GGCGGACGGGUGAGUAACGCGUAAGGAACUUGCCUCUUGGACUGGGACAACUGUUGGAAACGACAGCUAAUACCGGAUAUUAUGAGAUUCUCGCAUGAGAAACUUAUGAAAGCUAUAUGCGCCAAGAGAGAGCCUUGCGUUCCAUUAGCUAGUUGGUGGGGUAACGGCCCACCAAGGCGACGAUGGAUAGCCGGCCUGAGAGGGUGAACGGCCACAAGGGGACUGAGACACGGCCCUUACUCCUACGGGAGGCAGCAGUGGGGAAUAUUGGACAAUGGGCCACAAGCCUGAUCCAGCAAUUCUGUGUGCACGAUGAAGGUCUUCGGAUUGUAAAGUGCUUUCAGUUGGGAAGAAGAAAGUGACGGUACCAACAGAAGAAGCGACGGCUAAAUACGUGCCAGCAGCCGCGGUAAUACGUAUGUCGCAAGCGUUAUCCGGAUUUAUUGGGCGCAAAGCGCGUCUAGGCGGAAAAAUAAGUCUGAUGUUAAAAUGCGGGGCUCAACUCCGUAUUGCGUUGGAAACUGUUUUUCUAGAGUACUGGAGAGGUGGGCGGAACUACAAGUGUAGAGGUGAAAUUCGUAGAUAUUUGUAGGAAUGCCGAUGGAGAAGUCAGCUCACUGGACAGAUACUGACGCUGAAGCGCGAAAGCGUGGGGAGCAAAC